Molecule: ribosomal RNA, 509 nt
Filed under: uncultured bacterium
Lineage: Bacteria
Description: bacterial SSU rRNA
Rfam family: Bacterial small subunit ribosomal RNA
Source: RNAcentral
CGAACGCUGGCGGCGUGCUUAACACAUGCAAGUCGAACGCGAAAGGGACUUCGGUCCUGAGUAAAGUGGCUCACGGGUGAGUAACGCGUAGAUAACCUGUCUUCAUGUCUGGAAUAAUACGCCGAAAGGGGUACUAAUACCGGAUAUUCUUGCUUUUCAUAAGUUAUGCAAGCAAAGGUGGCCUCUGCAUAUGCUACUGCAUGAAGAGGGGUCUGCGUACCAUUAGCUAGUAGGUGGGGUAAUGGCCUACCUAGGCGACGAUGGUUAGCGGGUCUGAGAGGAUGAUCCGCCACACUGGCACUGGAACACGGGCCAGACUCCUACGGGAGGCAGCAGUGAGGAAUAUUGCGCAAGUGGGGGAAACCCUGACGCAGCGACGCCGCGUGAGUGAGGAAGGCCUUCGGGUCGUAAAGCUCUGUCAAGAGGAAAGAAGUGUACAAUGGCUAAUACCUGUUGUAUUUGACGGUACCUCUAAAGGAAGCACCGGCUAACUCCGUGCCAGCCGCCGC